Small nucleolar RNA from Ornithorhynchus anatinus (platypus), 138 nucleotides. NCBI's taxonomy places the organism in Eukaryota, Metazoa, Chordata, Mammalia, Monotremata, Ornithorhynchidae. The record is from RefSeq and is a predicted model, not a curated record.
CCCCUCUCAGGGCCACACCUGGAGAGUUUCCAUUACUCUACCAGUCUCGGCAACAGGAGGGAAAGUCAAGCAGAGGGAUACCCAUUCCAUUCCUAACUUGACCAGUGGCUAGCUAGUGGAAGGCAAUCUGCUACAAGU